GAUCAUGGCUCAGGAUGAACGCUGGCGGCGUGCUUAACACAUGCAAGUCGAACGAAGCACUUAAGAUUGAUUCUUCGGAUGAAGUCUUUUGUGACUGGGUGGCGGACGGGUGAGUAACGCGUGGGUAACCUGCCUCAUACAGGGGGAUAACAGUUAGAAAUGACUGCUAAUACCGCAUAAGCGCACAGGGUCGCAUGACCUGGUGUGGAAAACUCCGGUGGUAUGAGAUGGACCCG
This 236-nucleotide ribosomal RNA is filed under the name uncultured bacterium. RNAcentral describes it as "partial 16S ribosomal RNA". It matches the Rfam family "Bacterial small subunit ribosomal RNA", at positions 15 to 233 of the family's 1533-position model. The record is from RNAcentral.